CCCUGUCCAGAGCCGUUGGAGCAUGUGAGGUUUCAGGAAGGAAGGGAGGAGCUGCUUUGUUUUCUUCCUAGGAAAGGCCAGCAAUGGGAUGAGUGUCAGGAACUGCCAUUUGGGAGUUAAGAGAUCCUAUAGCCUGUUCUUCCACUCUGAGGCAUGCGAUCAAAAGCCUGUGGAAAUUAUUCUGAGAAGAAAUUGACUAGAGAUCCUAUCAACAUGAAAUACCCUGUGAAACCCGAGAAGCUCCUGAAAUGAUGGAUGACAUCAAGAGCCAAAAGAACAAAACGUCUGCAGAAGAGAUCCUUAAUCACUUUGUGAAGCCUGUUGAUCUGUUGUCAACUUCUUAACUUAAAGCUUGUGCUGUCAUAUAUCUAACUUUAAAGUUUAAUGAACCAGUUGGUGAAUGAAAAUCUCUGUUAAAAAAUUCAGUCCUGUCCCUUCAGCUGCGGUGUGAGCAAUAGCACACUUCACUGGAUGCUCUCAGCAAGUCCCUCCUUAAAACAGUAGCACCAAAUAAGAUCUAAUUUUCCUAAUAUUUGUAGACUACAAUGCAAGAAGGACAAUACUUGAGAUUUUCUGUAUUCCUGAAGAGUAAGUUAAAAAAACAACAACAAAACAGUGAAAGCUUCUCCCCAGGUUAUAUGCUACACCUCUUUAAUUUACAAGUAUUUUACUACUGAAAUUGAGUAUCAAUGUUAUUUAAAAUUUUUAAAAAUUGCCCACUAGGUGGCUGUAAUUGUUGUGGCCAUGCUUAAUUUUUGGUAUCAAAUUCCCAUAUUUAAAAAAAUCCGUUCUUCCUUUUUGUUGAUCUUCAGCACAUGCUCUCAAUCUCCAAGGCUGUCUUUGUAACAAUAGGAUCCUCACCUUGGAAAUUUCAGCAGUUUAUAGGAAAUUUAGUUGUUCAAAAUGGCUGCUGCAAUGGGCUUGCAUAACAUGUAAGGCACAGAAAUCCACUGCCAUUUGAAGGAUAAAGUGGGAAUUCAUUUUUCAUUAUUGAAAGAAACACUUUUUUUCUGCUAUUACAAGGAAUGAUCAAAGACUCGGAGCGCUUUGGAAAGAGUUUCCAAUAGUGUGGCAUUUAAUGUGAGCAGCUUGUGAUUACUGUUGGAGCACAAAAACGUUGUAAAUCUGAUGAAGGAGAGCCCAGAAGGCAGGAUUGAGCAUCUCCUGUGUCCUAGAUUCAGCAGAGGAGCUGAUGUGAAAAAGAAGCAGGAUCUGCUGGAAGGAAAGCUCAAGUGAUGUAUCACAGGAAAUAAAAUUUCCCUGCUGUUGGCAUGGGCUGUAGUCCAGGAACAGCAGUGCAUCUGGGUAGAGGAUUUGCAAAGAGUUUGCUGGCUGUGGUUCCUCCUGCAGUUUUCCUGAAGAUCCACCCAAAGGGAAUAGGCUCAGGUGGAGAGGGAGAUUUCCCCCAUUCAGCCAGUGAGCAGGGCACUGAUGCUUCUUCUGAACAGAAAUGCCUGAAAAUAAACAUCUACAUAUCUUUGGCAGCUCUUGACUGCAACAUAUGAAAAGGGAACUGCCUGUCUACAAGUUUUAAGCAGCAUGCAAAGACAUUUGUAGGAAUUCUCCACAAAGGAUGAGCCAGCACGGAAUCACUGAGGCAUUGCUGCAGACCCUUGGGCAUGGUGCAUGGUCCUGCCAGCAGCACAUAAAUCUGCCUUUAAUGGGAAUUAAUUCAUUUCUAUUGAGGAAUUUGCCCACCAGUUUAGCACUGCACCAAAGGGGUUAUCAGGGGCCAUCAGGUUUCAUAAGACUUAAGUGCCACUUCAUUAAGUGUCUUUGAAAGAUAGUUUGUACAUCUGGAGUAAGAACAGUUCGGCCGGGGCAGUGCCUGUGGCUCACCUAAAAAAAAC
Melospiza georgiana is the source of this 1850-nucleotide long non-coding RNA. RefSeq lists it as uncharacterized. The record is from RefSeq and is a predicted model, not a curated record. Lineage: Eukaryota; Metazoa; Chordata; Aves; Passeriformes; Passerellidae. The transcript has 3 exons.